Molecule: non-coding RNA, 870 nt
Organism: Cyanistes caeruleus (blue tit)
Lineage: Eukaryota; Metazoa; Chordata; Aves; Passeriformes; Paridae
Source: RefSeq, a predicted model, not a curated record
GGCCAGAACUCUGGGUGUGGUAGCUUGCCUUAGUGACACACCUGCUCAUUAUCUGUGUUUCAUCUCUACGCUCUAGCUGACAGUUGGUUCUGGUAAAUGGCAACAAUGCUACAACUACCAAAUAAAAUGCUGGACAGACUGACAGAAGAUAUCUCUUCAUCUUAGAAGCUGACUCUUACAUGAAUCUGGCAACCACAGAUUUCAUAGAAAGAAGAUUAUGGUGAGCACAAGGAAAGCAAGUGCAUUCCUGUGUCCAGGAGACAAAUACGUGAUGCAGAAACUGGAUGGACCAAAAAGAGGAGGUGCAUCACUGAGUCUGCCAAUCACAAAGGAAAAAGAACUGACAAGAACAUGUUGGCUGCUAUUACUUCAUGAAUUAUUUAGACUGCAGUAAACAAGAAAUACAUCUAUAUGUCCAUUGAAGAGAAGCUGAAUGGAAAAAACAGGAUUAAGAAGUGAUGAUAAGUAGAUAAUCCUGAACUUCUUAUAAAUAAACAAGAUUCACUUUACUGCUUCAGUGGUUCUUCUUGAUUAAAACUUCUACAUAAGAAGAUGUGGGCAGAAUGACACAGAAGUACAUUACCACACUUGAAGACGUAUGGCAACAUAGAUUACUGCUAAACCAGUUUCUCUUUUUACUGACUUUUGCUCCUUCAUUUCAAUAUAAGAAUAUUUAGACAUCUAUCUUCUAACCAGAAGCAUAAAUUAUAUCUAUGUCUAUUUUCCUUCCUUGGCUUGACAAGUUCCUGGACAAUUAAGAUUGGGAGUAAAGAACAUACAAUAACGCCUUGUAAAUGUUUUCCUCUUAUACACACAUCCUGUGUAAGAAAAAGAGUGCAUAACAAAUUCUUCAUGCCCUUUCCCUCUUUC